GUGAUCUAUUGUCUAGAGAUGGUUCUGCAAGCAUAGCUCACGUGGCAGCUUAGGGUUUUGAUUGUACGAGUUGUGCUUCUUCUAUAUAAGAAACAAGGGGUUUAUUGUGGGUUAGAGGUGAGUGGCCUAGCUUAUGUGGUGUUAGUUGAGAUUCCAGGAAUGAACCGCGUAGCAUCCCAUCCCAUGCACCAUUUCAGCACUCUCCCCCAAAUUCCUUCUAUUCAUUUUCCUAAACCGUGUAGGCCCCGUGUUUAACAGUGUUUUCCUCUCUUAUAAAUUGCCUCACAGCCAAAACCCAAAGAAGAAGAGAGAUUAAUAAAAGAAACCCAGAAGAAGCCAAGGAAAGCAUUAGAGAAGUGCAUGGCAAGUUAGACAAACUUCGAAGUCAAUCCUUAUGAAUCUCAAUCUACUUUAGAUAUUUGCUGGAAUUUGUUCUCCAAUUCAAAUCCAAUUAGCAGCAUUAUUACUAUUGUUUUUAUUGCCUUCAAUUUCCUUCUCUAACUUGUCUUCGCCCUUCUCUCAUUCUUAUCUUUGGACUUUGGUUCCUUUCCUUCUGUUCAAUAAUCCAUGUUAUACCUACACCUACAUACACCAAGAUCCAAUUAAGGUCUAAGAAAUACUUAGAACAGCUCCAUGAAAUAUGAGACAUCACAACAGGCCAACCAGUAGAUCUGGGCACAAACAGGCAGCUGAAGAUCUACUAUAGAUACUAAUUCAGGCAUCUUGAAGCACAAGGUCCGAUGCUUUUUAAUUUUCUUUGCCUUGCAGAUCACCCAGUUACAAGACCCAAUCCAUUAGUCAGCCUAGCUCGCCACAUAGAGACAUCAACAAGGAAGUCAAGAAAGAUCAGAUUUAACAGUACUGUGGUUGUUGAAUGCUCUAAAUAAAUCCCAAGAAAAUCUGGUUCAGCGGAGUGAGAGCCAAAACUAUGAAGAAAACUUCUAGUCUCAGGAAAGAAGUUGAGGGCUGCAGACAGGGGUACAUAAAGUGAGCUAGAAAAUACUAGCCAGAACCAGUAAAAGAUUACAUAGCAGCCGAUGAGAUGAAAGUUUGUUUUUCAAUUCAUAAAAUGUCCAAAGCUGUAACUAUAUAAUAACGUGAGGGACACUUAUUUCUUUUUGUCUCUUAGUAACUGCUUAUCAGAGAACACUUUAUUUUUCUUUUCCAGUUAUAUAUGCAUAGAUUUAUAUUAUAUGAAACGAGUGCUUCUCCAUUAAACUCAAA
Molecule: long non-coding RNA, 1224 nt
Organism: Gossypium raimondii (Peruvian cotton)
Lineage: Eukaryota; Viridiplantae; Streptophyta; Magnoliopsida; Malvales; Malvaceae
Exons: 2
Source: RefSeq, a predicted model, not a curated record